AUUGAACGCUGGCGGCAUGCCUUACACAUGCAAGUCGAACGGUAACAGGUCUUCGGAUGCUGACGAGUGGCGAACGGGUGAGUAAUACAUCGGAACGUGCCUAGUAGUGGGGGAUAACUACUCGAAAGAGUGGCUAAUACCGCAUGAGAUCUACGGAUGAAAGCAGAGGAUCGCAAGACCUUGUGCUACUAGAGCGGCCGAUGGCAGAUUAGGUAGUUGGUGGGAUAAAAGCUUACCAAGCCGACGAUCUGUAGCUGGUCUGAGAGGACGAUCAGCCACACUGGGACUGAGACACGGCCCAGACUCCUACGGGAGGCAGCAGUGGGGAAUUUUGGACAAUGGGCGAAAGCCUGAUCCAGCAAUGCCGCGUGCAGGAUGAAGGCCUUCGGGUUGUAAACUGCCUUUGUACGGAACGAAAAGCCCCGGGUUAAUACCCUGGGGUCAUGACGGUACCGUAAGAAUAAGCACCGGCUAACUACGUGCCAGCAGCCGCCGUAA
RNAcentral lists this ribosomal RNA (498 nucleotides) under uncultured bacterium. RNAcentral describes it as "partial 16S ribosomal RNA". It matches the Rfam family "Bacterial small subunit ribosomal RNA", at positions 30 to 523 of the family's 1533-position model. The record is from RNAcentral.